RNAcentral lists this transfer RNA (73 nucleotides) under Myotis davidii. It matches the Rfam family "tRNA". From Rfam's summary of the family: Transfer RNA (tRNA) molecules are approximately 80 nucleotides in length. Their secondary structure includes four short double-helical elements and three loops (D, anti-codon, and T loops). Further hydrogen bonds mediate the characteristic L-shaped molecular structure. tRNAs have two regions of fundamental functional importance: the anti-codon, which is responsible for specific mRNA codon recognition, and the 3' end, to which the tRNAs corresponding amino acid is attached (by aminoacyl-tRNA synthetases). tRNAs cope with the degeneracy of the genetic code in two manners: having more than one tRNA (with a specific anti-codon) for a particular amino acid; and 'wobble' base-pairing, i.e. permitting non-standard base-pairing at the 3rd anti-codon position. Lineage: Eukaryota; Metazoa; Chordata; Mammalia; Chiroptera; Vespertilionidae. The record is from Rfam by way of RNAcentral.
GCUGGUGUGGCUCAGUAGUUAGAGCAUUGGCCUGUGGAGCAAAGGGUAUCAGGUUCGAUUCCAGUCAAGGGCA